UGUUUGAUGUUCUAACGUGGACCCGUGAUCCGGGUUGCGGACAGUGUCUGGUGGGUAGUUUGACUGGGGCGGUCUCCUCCUAAAGAGUAACGGAGGAGCACGAAGGUUGGCUAAUCCUGGUCGGACAUCAGGAGGUUAGUGCAAUGGCAUAAGCCAGCUUGACUGCGAGCGUGACGGCGCGAGCAGGUGCGAAAGCAGGUCAUAGUGAUCCGGUGGUUCUGAAUGGAAGGGCCAUCGCUCAACGGAUAAAAGGUACUCCGGGGAUAACAGGCUGAUACCGCCCAAGAGUUCAUAUCGACGGCGGUGUUUGGCACCUCGAUGUCGGCUCAUCACAUCCUGGGGCUGAAGUAGGUCCCAAGGGUAUGGCUGUUCGCCAUUUAAAGUGGUACGCGAGCUGGGUUUAGAACGUCGUGAGACAGUUCGGUCCCUAUCUGCCGUGGGCGCUGGAGAACUGAGGGGGGCUGCUCCUAGUACGAGAGGACCGGAGUGGACGCAUCACUGGUGUUCGGGUUGUCAUGCCAAUGGCACUGCCCGGUAGCUAAAUGCGGAAGAGAUAAGUGCUGAAAGCAUCUAAGCACGAAACUUGCCCCGAGAUGAGUUCUCCCUGACCCUUUAAGGGUCCUGAAGGAACGUUGAAGACGACGACGUUGAUAGGCCGGGU
Molecule: ribosomal RNA, 661 nt
Filed under: Shigella sonnei
Lineage: Bacteria; Pseudomonadati; Pseudomonadota; Gammaproteobacteria; Enterobacterales; Enterobacteriaceae
Description: partial 23S ribosomal RNA
Rfam family: Bacterial large subunit ribosomal RNA
Source: RNAcentral